UUCAGAAUAUCUCCUAUUAUAUAUAUAUCCACCAGACCCCGCUCCCUAAUAUAGCCAAUCCGCCAUUUGGCGGAUUUGUGCUAGUUUAGGGGGCGGGUCUGGCGGGUAUAUACAGUAAAGUAUUUCCCUAGGACUAUCCGUCCCCAAGUCAUCAGUAUGUUUACUAACUUACUAGUGUACUGUUAGUGAGUCAUCUGUUACCUCCAGGGAAGUGACGCAUAUGCCAUUAAUUAUAGUAAAAUACAGUACUAAGAACUGGGAUGGUAAUCAUGGCUGUUCCUGGAGGUGUACAUGAAAAUGUUAUCUUCACUGCAAGUGUCCCAAGUGAGGUGAAGACUCUGGUAAAGGCUUCACACAACAUGGAUAAAAUCGUCUUCAGGAAAUUGAUUAAACUUGGGCUAGGUUAUCUACAGGGAGGUGUGAUGCAAGAGGAUCAAGAAGCAGCCAUCAAAAACCUCUGUGACUCUACCCAACCAGUGACAGAGAAGGCAGUGUUGAUGACUUGCGUCCAAUAUGCAGGAAUUGUGUCCUUACUCCGGGCUGCAUUGAGAGUUAAUACUGUCACAACUCGUCAAGAUAUUCUUUUGGCUGAUCUUACAAAUUUUGGACUACCAGAAGAAUUUGCUUCAGAUGUUUGCAAGGUAGUUUUUGGUCCUGCCCGAUUGGAUAUUGACAACCAGCUUGUUUCUAACACUCCUGCGCUCCCAGUCAUGACAAAUCUUAAUUGGAGGGUGGAGGUCACAAUUUCAACCAGUUACCAGAUUGUCAGCCGAUUCUACCUCUCCGAUCGUCUGGCUGGGUGUUCUACGUGGAAGUCCGCACCUGUACAUUUGUCUAGGAUGGGGUGGCAACCCAGGCUGGCUCUCUCGAAAGGGCAGUUCAAAAGAUGUCUUUAAACUGCUCAGGGAACAUGUGAGCAUGAGGAUCGAGAAGACUGCAGUGGGAGCAGACCCUGAUGUGCGUCAUUGACCUGGGCCCGGGUGGGAUAAUACCUGUUAAAACUUUAAAAAAUAAAACUAACAGUGAAGAA
Molecule: unclassified non-coding RNA, 1030 nt
Filed under: Homarus americanus (American lobster)
Lineage: Eukaryota; Metazoa; Arthropoda; Malacostraca; Decapoda; Nephropidae
Description: cOMM domain-containing protein 5-like, transcript variant X6
Source: RNAcentral